GUCGCAGCUUGUGAAACAUGUACUAAAAUUGGAACGAUAGGGUGGAGAUUAGCAUGGCCCCUGCGGAAGGAUGACACUCAAUCGGCACUGUUAGUUGCCCUCUGU
Schistocerca americana (American grasshopper) is the source of this 105-nucleotide small nuclear RNA. The record is from RefSeq and is a predicted model, not a curated record. Lineage: Eukaryota; Metazoa; Arthropoda; Insecta; Orthoptera; Acrididae.